UAGUACAUAUUUAUUUUGUUCUCAUGUCAGUUUUGGAGAACAUACAUUACAAUUUCUUGACAAGACAACAUUUGGAAAAUUGCUCUGUUCAUUAAAACAUUGAAAACCGUAUAUGUUUUUUAAAUCAUUCCUCUUCAAUGCAUUUGUUGAAGUAAUUUUACUGAAUCAAAGAUAUAAAUACAUGUUUGAAAACAAAUACCCGAAACUGCUAAAAAAAAGACUGGGAUUGAAAGUUAGACUAGAUUCGUUGAUCAUCUACUUGAAAAAUGUGUUUUGUUAGAAAUAUAUAGGAACAGGAAAAU
Non-coding RNA from Schizosaccharomyces pombe (fission yeast), 302 nucleotides. The record is from the annotation of a GenBank genome assembly. Lineage: Eukaryota; Fungi; Ascomycota; Schizosaccharomycetes; Schizosaccharomycetales; Schizosaccharomycetaceae.